UGAAAAGAACUGAGGUGAUCAGAGUGAAAUAGAACCUGAAACCAUUUGCUUACAAUCAUUCAGAGCCCUAUGUAGCAAUACAGGGUGAUGGACUGCCUUUUGCAUAAUGAGCCUGCGAGUUGUGGUGUCUGGCAAGGUUAAGCAAACGCGAAGCCGUAGCGAAAGCGAGUCUGAAUAGGGCGCUUAGUCAGAUGCUGCAGACCCGAAACGAAGUGAUCUAUCCAUGAGCAAGUUGAAGCUAGUGUAAGAACUAGUGGAGGACUGAACCCAUAGGCGUUGAAAAGCCCCGGGAUGACUUGUGGAUAGGGGUGAAAGGCCAAUCAAACUUCGUGAUAGCUGGUUCUCUCCGAAAUAUAUUUAGGUAUAGCGUUGUGUCGUAAUAUAAGGGGGUAGAGCACUGAAUGGGCUAGGGCAUACACCAAUGUACCAAACCCUAUCAAACUCCGAAUACCUUAUAUGUAAUCACAGCAGUCAGGCGGCGAGUGAUAAAAUCCGUCGUCAAGAGGGAAACAACCCAGACUACCAGCUAAGGUCCCUAAAUCUUACUUAAGUGGAAAACGAUGUGAAGUUACUUAAACAACCAGGAGGUUGGCUUAGAAGCAGCCAUCCUUUAAAGAAAGCGUAAUAGCUCACUGGUCUAGUGAUUUUGCGCGGAAAAUAUAACGGGGCUAAAGUAAGUACCGAAGCUGUAGACUUAGUUUAC
This 703-nucleotide ribosomal RNA is filed under the name Campylobacter coli. RNAcentral describes it as "partial 23S ribosomal RNA". It matches the Rfam family "Bacterial large subunit ribosomal RNA", at positions 515 to 1216 of the family's 2925-position model. The record is from RNAcentral. Lineage: Bacteria; Pseudomonadati; Campylobacterota; Epsilonproteobacteria; Campylobacterales; Campylobacteraceae.